GAUACCCGCUGAACUUAAGCAUAUCAAUAAGCGGAGGAAAAGAAACCAACCGGGAUUGCCUCAGUAACGGCGAGUGAAGCGGCAAGAGCUCAAAUUUGAAAGCUGGCCCCUCCGGGGUCCGCGUUGUAAUUUGCAGAGGAUGCUUUGGGUGCGGCCCCCGUCUAAGUGCCCUGGAACGGGCCGUCAGAGAGGGUGAGAAUCCCGUCUUGGGCGGGGUGUCCGUGCCCGUGUAAAGCUCCUUCGACGAGUCGAGUUGUUUGGGAAUGCAGCUCUAAAUGGGUGGUAAAUUUCAUCUAAAGCUAAAUACUGGCCGGAGACCGAUAGCGCACAAGUAGAGUGAUCGAAAGAUGAAAAGCACUUUGAAAAGAGAGUUAAACAGCACGUGAAAUUGUUGAAAGGGAAGCGCUUGCGACCAGACUCGCCCUCGGGGUUCAGCCGGCACUCGUGCCGGUGUACUUCCCCGGGGGCGGGCCAGCGUCAGCUUGGGCGGCCGGUCAAAGGCCUCCGGAAUGUAGUGCCCCCCGGGGCACCUUAUAGCCGGAGGUGCAAUGCGGCCAGCCUGGGCUGAGGAACGCGCUUCGGCACGGACGCUGGCAUAAUGGUCGCAAACGACC
RNAcentral lists this ribosomal RNA (614 nucleotides) under Aspergillus japonicus. RNAcentral describes it as "eukaryotic LSU rRNA". It matches the Rfam family "Eukaryotic large subunit ribosomal RNA", at positions 21 to 649 of the family's 3401-position model. Lineage: Eukaryota; Fungi; Ascomycota; Eurotiomycetes; Eurotiales; Aspergillaceae. The record is from RNAcentral.